This 253-nucleotide ribosomal RNA is filed under the name uncultured bacterium. RNAcentral describes it as "partial 16S ribosomal RNA". It matches the Rfam family "Bacterial small subunit ribosomal RNA", at positions 524 to 776 of the family's 1533-position model. The record is from RNAcentral.
UACAGAGGUCUCAAGCGUUGUUCGGAUUCAUUGGGCGUAAAGGGUGCGUAGGUGGCGCUGUAAGUCGGGUGUGAAAUUUCGGAGCUUAACUCCGAAACUGCAUUCGAUACUGCGGUGCUUGAGGACUGGAGAGGAGACUGGAAUUCAUGGUGUAGCAGUGAAAUGCGUAGAGAUCAUGAGGAAGACCAGUGGCGAAGGCGGCAUCCUGGACCAAUAUUGACGCUGAGGAGCGAAAGCCAGGGGAGCAAACGGG